This 339-nucleotide unclassified non-coding RNA is filed under the name fungal sp. RNAcentral describes it as "partial internal transcribed spacer region". Lineage: Eukaryota; Fungi. The record is from RNAcentral.
AAGUCGUAACAAGGUUUCCGAAGUUGAACCUGCGGAAGGAUCAUUAACACGUAUCCAAACGUUAACGUGCUCACCUUUGUCAGAGCGUGGCAAUCCCUAGUAAAUCAUCGCCGAACAGUUUUCGAUUUAGGGACUUCCACAAAGAGUGUGCUCGUAGCGCGAGGCAAGUGGCCUGGCAUUCCCAAGCAGUUGGUGUCUGAAAGUGUCACUGGCUGUGGAUGGCGCAGUCACCGGGCUCACGCCCCUUAAUCACAACUUAAUGCAUGUCAGACGCCUGCGCUUAAUUGUGCGGCGACCAUAAAACUCGAACAACUGUUAACAAUGGAUAUCUUGGUUCUC